Brassica napus (rape) is the source of this 1263-nucleotide long non-coding RNA. RefSeq lists it as uncharacterized. The transcript is spliced from 3 exons. Lineage: Eukaryota; Viridiplantae; Streptophyta; Magnoliopsida; Brassicales; Brassicaceae. The record is from RefSeq and is a predicted model, not a curated record.
AUAAACUUUCCUUGACAUGACUUAUUAGUCCUGAGUCUAUUAAACAUUUCUUGAGCGAUGUGGAUGUUAUCCGAGAUUAACCGACCAGCGACAAAUGAAAAUUGGGUUUUCGAGAUGAGCGUUGGAAGGUAAUGUUUUAGCCUCUGACAUAAAACAUUCGAGAUAAUCUUGUAUCCUACAUUUCACAGGUUUAUUGGCCUCAAUUCUGUCAUCCUUGUAAGAUGUUCUGUUUUUGGUAUCAGACAUAUGUUUAUGAUAUUUAAGUGACCAAUCGUCAUGUGCUUCCAACUAGGCCUACUUCCAACUGUUGCUAGUGGAACGAAAAUAAAGGUACCCUUUUUUAUUUUAUCUUAUCAUUUAUCUCUUUCCAUUCCUCCCAUUCAUUUUGGUUCAAAAUCGUAGAAUGAAAGAUUAACCCACUCUCCUCACGAGAUCAGCGUUGGGAAGUUGACACGUGAAACGCCGUGGGGAGCUAAAGGGUGUGGUAGAUAUGCUCCUCUUAGACGCUAAGGCCUUCGUCCCUCCAAAGUCAUCUUCCCAGUUUGUGAUAAUCUACAGAAACUCAUUAGCAGUAUAACGGCUAAGUCAUCUGUUCUUCUUACUGAUUUGAAGGCUGGUCGCUGUUCUUCGACCGUCUACGGCUAGAAACUUCAAACGCGGUGGCGAGUUGAUGAGAGUGAACUUGCUCCUCCUUGAUACGAAGUCGACCCUCAUGCAAGCCACCAUGAAUUUUCACCGUCUCGCAACUUGCAGGGACAGUAAAUGUCAUUAUCUUUCAUUACUCCUCUUCACAUUCGACCCUCAAACAUGGAUCCAUCACCGUUCAAAGAAGGAUUUAUUUACGAGCUUGGUGUGUUAGAUGUAGCAAGAUCAACCAUCACUUCAAAAUUUCAGGCUCAGUCAUCGCCAUACCUUCACCGCGCUUUAUCAAGUUCAUCAAGAUGGCAGGUGUUAGUUUUCAGCACGUUUAUCAUUUUUCUAAUCUAAUUUUCAUCCCAUAAUAAUCUACCAAUGGUACACCCUUUUAAUUAAAGGUGAUUUAAUCUGGGGAUGGUCAACCACAAACUCUGCCAUAUUUGGUUCGUAGUUGAGAUGUGGAAACGAUAGUGAAGACACGAUCUAGACAUAUUUAAAUAGCUUAUCUUGGUUGUCAAUAUUUUGUUUUCUAAGAGAAAAGACCUCAGCUGGAUAUCCUGCAUUAGUGUAUCACCCUGUAACAUCACAACUAUAAUAUAAAUAAGAACCACAACACAAUUUUUUUUA